CAGGGAUCUGCCAGCACCCUGUGGGGCCCAGACUACAGGCUGAUGGCGGGGGCUUCGAGUGACCCGGGCGCCGAGGAGCGGGAAGAGUUGCUGGGGCCCACUGCUCAGUGGAGCGUGGAGGACGAGGAGGAGGCUGUCCACGAGCAAUGCCAGCAUGAGAGAGACAGGCAGCUUCAGGCGCAGGACGAGGAGGGAGGCGGCCAUGUCCCCGAGCGGCCGAAGCAGGAGAUGCUGUGAGCAGCCCCCUAACGCGUGCCUGGGCUCUAGCCCCUAUCCGUGUACCCUGGGGCCUGGGCAGAGGCGGAGGUC
Molecule: long non-coding RNA, 309 nt
Filed under: Pan troglodytes (chimpanzee)
Lineage: Eukaryota; Metazoa; Chordata; Mammalia; Primates; Hominidae
Description: long non-coding RNA NONPTRT002492
Source: RNAcentral